UGGGGAAUCUUGCGCAAUGGGCGAAAGCCUGACGCAGCGACGCCGCGUGGGUGAUGAAGGCCUUCGGGUUGUAAAGCCCUGUGGGGAGAGACGAAUAAGUACUGGCUAACAUCCAGUGCGAUGACGGUAUCUCCUUAGCAAGCACCGGCUAACUCUGUGCCAGCAGCCGCGGUAAGACAGAGGGUGCAAACGUUGUUCGGAAUUACUGGGCGUAAAGCGCGUGUAGGCGGCGACGUAAGUCGGAUGUGAAAGCCCUCGGCUCAACCGAGGAAGUGCAUUCGAAACUGCGCAGCUCGAGUCCCGGAGAGGAUGGUGGAAUUCUCGGUGUAGAGGUGAAAUUCGUAGAUAUCGAGAGGAACACCGGUGGCGAAGGCGGCCAUCUGGACGGUGACUGACGCUGAGACGCGAAAGCGUGGGGAGCAAACAGGAUUAGAUACCCCUGUAGUCC
RNAcentral lists this ribosomal RNA (448 nucleotides) under uncultured bacterium. Its description in RNAcentral is "bacterial SSU rRNA". It matches the Rfam family "Bacterial small subunit ribosomal RNA", at positions 355 to 796 of the family's 1533-position model. The record is from RNAcentral.